Molecule: ribosomal RNA, 681 nt
Filed under: Escherichia sp.
Lineage: Bacteria; Pseudomonadati; Pseudomonadota; Gammaproteobacteria; Enterobacterales; Enterobacteriaceae
Description: bacterial SSU rRNA
Rfam family: Bacterial small subunit ribosomal RNA
Source: RNAcentral
UGGGGAGCAAACAGGAUUAGAUACCCUGGUAGUCCACGCCGUAAACGAUGUCGACUUGGAGGUUGUGCCCUUGAGGCGUGGCUUCCGGAGCUAACGCGUUAAGUCGACCGCCUGGGGAGUACGGCCGCAAGGUUAAAACUCAAAUGAAUUGACGGGGGCCCGCACAAGCGGUGGAGCAUGUGGUUUAAUUCGAUGCAACGCGAAGAACCUUACCUGGUCUUGACAUCCACGGAACUUUCCAGAGAUGAGAAGGUGCCUUCGGGAACCGUGAGACAGGUGCUGCAUGGCUGUCGUCAGCUCGUGUUGUGAAAUGUUGGGUUAAGUCCCGCAACGAGCGCAACCCUUAUCCUUUGUUGCCAGCGGUCCGGCCGGGAACUCAAAGGAGACUGCCAGUGAUAAACUGGAGGAAGGUGGGGAUGACGUCAAGUCAUCAUGGCCCUUACGACCAGGGCUACACACGUGCUACAAUGGCGCAUACAAAGAGAAGCGACCUCGCGAGAGCAAGCGGACCUCAUAAAGUGCGUCGUAGUCCGGAUUGGAGUCUGCAACUCGACUCCAUGAAGUCGGAAUCGCUAGUAAUCGUGGAUCAGAAUGCCACGGUGAAUACGUUCCCGGGCCUUGUACACACCGCCCGUCACACCAUGGGAGUGGGUUGCAAAAGAAGUAGGUAGCUUAACCUUC